GCCGACGUAGCUCAGUGGCAGAGCGUCCGCCUUGUAAGCGGAGGGUCGCGAGUUCAACCCUCGCCGUCGGCUC
Molecule: transfer RNA, 73 nt
Filed under: Anaerolineae bacterium
Lineage: Bacteria; Bacillati; Chloroflexota; Anaerolineae
Description: tRNA-Thr
Rfam family: tRNA
About the family: Transfer RNA (tRNA) molecules are approximately 80 nucleotides in length.
Source: RNAcentral